Molecule: ribosomal RNA, 791 nt
Filed under: Verrucomicrobiota bacterium
Lineage: Bacteria; Pseudomonadati; Verrucomicrobiota
Description: Verrucomicrobia bacterium partial 23S ribosomal RNA
Rfam family: Bacterial large subunit ribosomal RNA
Source: RNAcentral
UGAUCAAGCUACAAAGAGCGCAUCAUGGAUGCCUUGGUGCCAAUAGGCGAUGAAGGACGUGGUAAGCUGCGAUAAGCUACGGAGAGCGGCAAACACGCUUUGACCCGUAGAUUUCCGAAUGGGAUAACCUGAGCGGGGUAACACCUGCUCGAGUUCGUGUGAAUACAUAGCACGAACAUCGCGACACCCGGUGAAGUGAAACAUCUCAGUAACCGGAGGAAGAGAAAGCGAAAGCGAUUCCGUCAGUAGUGGCGAGCGAAAGCGGAAAAGGCUAAACCCCCGCCACUUCAGAUCGUUGUGUGACUACCAUGUAUUACGUUUACAUUCUCAAACAUCCGACCGAAGAGCGCAUUUACAUCGGUUUGAGCACCGACUUGCGGUCCAGGUUGAAGCGUCAUCGGAGUGAACAUCCCGUGUGGCGCCUGGCGUACUACGAAGCUUAUGCUUCGGAAGCGGACGCCAUAGCCAGAGAGCGGCGGCUGAAGCACUAUGGAAAUGUGCAGCAACCGCUGAAGAAACGAAUCAUGAAGAGUCUCAACGCGGUUUGAAGUGGCGGGGGGGUUGUAGGAGCCCGAUGUGGUAGUGCAAAGGUUAGGUGAAGCUUUUGGAAAGCUGCGCCAUAGAGGGUGAAAGGCCCGUAACCGAAAACCCGAGCACGCCUAGGGAUUUCCUGAGUAAUACGAUGCACGUGAAACUUCGUAUGAAUCUGCGCCGACCACGGCGUAAGCCUAAAUACUCAUUGGCGACCGAUAGUGAACCAGUACCGCGAGGGAAAGGUGAAAAGAACCGCU